Molecule: ribosomal RNA, 497 nt
Filed under: uncultured bacterium
Lineage: Bacteria
Description: partial 16S ribosomal RNA
Rfam family: Bacterial small subunit ribosomal RNA
Source: RNAcentral
GACGAACGCUGGCGGCGUGCCUAUACAUGCAAGUCGAACGAGAGCGGCCGGUGCUUGCACUGGUAAAUCUAGGGGCGAACGGGUGAGUAACCCGUGGGUAACCUGCCCAUCAGAGGGGGAUAACAUCCGGAAACGGAUGCUAAAACCGCAUAGGUCUUCGAGCCGCAUGGCUUGAAGAGGAAAAGAGGCGCAAGCUUCUGCUGAUGGAUGGACCCGCGGUGCAUUAGCUAGUUGGUGAGGUAACGGCUCACCAAGGCCGUGAUGCAUAGCCGACCUGAGAGGGUGAUCGGCCACAUUGGGACUGAGACACGGCCCAAACUCCUACGGGAGGCAGCAGUAGGGAAUCUUCCGCAAUGGACGCAAGUCUGACGGAGCAACGCCGCGUGAGUGAAGAAGGUUUUCGGAUCGUAAAACUCUGUUGUUAGAGAAGAACAAGUGCUAGAGUAACUGUUAGCGCCUUGACGGUAUCUAACCAGAAAGCCACGGCUAACUACGUG